UACAGAGGGUGCAAGCGUUAUCCGGAUUCACUGGGUUUAAAGGGUGCGUAGGCGGGUUGGUAAGUCCGUGGUGAAAUCUCCAAGCUUAACUUGGAAACUGCCGUGGAUACUAUCAAUCUUGAAUGUCGUGGAGGUAAGCGGAAUAUGUCAUGUAGCGGUGAAAUGCUUAGAGAUGGCAUAGAACACCAAUUGCGUAGGCAGCUUACUACACGAAUAUUGACGCUGAGGCACGAAAGCGUGGGGAGCAAAC
Molecule: ribosomal RNA, 250 nt
Filed under: uncultured bacterium
Lineage: Bacteria
Description: partial 16S ribosomal RNA
Rfam family: Bacterial small subunit ribosomal RNA
Source: RNAcentral